RNAcentral lists this ribosomal RNA (709 nucleotides) under uncultured Staphylococcus sp. RNAcentral's name for it is "bacterial SSU rRNA". It matches the Rfam family "Bacterial small subunit ribosomal RNA", at positions 65 to 756 of the family's 1533-position model. The record is from RNAcentral. Lineage: Bacteria; Bacillati; Bacillota; Bacilli; Caryophanales; Staphylococcaceae.
AGCGAACAGACGAGGAGCUUGCUCCUCUGACGUUAGCGGCGGACGGGUGAGUAACACGUGGAUAACCUACCUAUAAGACUGGGAUAACUUCGGGAAACCGGAGCUAAUACCGGAUAAUAUAUUGAACCGCAUGGUUCAAUAGUGAAAGACGGUUUUGCUGUCACUUAUAGAUGGAUCCGCGCCGCAUUAGCUAGUUGGUAAGGUAACGGCUUACCAAGGCAACGAUGCGUAGCCGACCUGAGAGGGUGAUCGGCCACACUGGAACUGAGACACGGUCCAGACUCCUACGGGAGGCAGCAGUAGGGAAUCUUCCGCAAUGGGCGAAAGCCUGACGGAGCAACGCCGCGUGAGUGACGAAGGUCUUCGGAUCGUAAAACUCUGUUAUUAGGGAAGAACAAAUGUGUAAGUAACUAUGCACGUCUUGACGGUACCUAAUCAGAAAGCCACGGCUAACUACGUGCCAGCAGCCGCGGUAAUACGUAGGUGGCAAGCGUUAUCCGGAAUUAUUGGGCGUAAAGCGUGCGUAGGCGGUUUUUUAAGUCUGAUGUGAAAGCCCACGGCUCAACCGUGGAGGGUCAUUGGAAACUGGAAUACUUGAGUGCAGAAGAGGAAAGUGGAAUUCCAUGUGUAGCGGUGAAAUGCGCAGAGUUAUGGAGGUACACCAGUGGCGAAGGCGACUUUCUGGUCUGUAACUGACGCUGAUGUGCGA